UACGGAGGGUGCAAGCGUUAAUCGGAAUUACUGGGCGUAAAGCGCCCGCAGGCGGUUUGUUAAGUCAGAUGUGAAAGCCCCGGGCUCAACCUGGGAACGGCAUCUGAAACUGGCAAGCUUGAGUAUAGUAGAGGGAGGUAGAAUUCCAGGUGUAGCGGUGAAAUGCGUAGAGAUCUGGAGGAAUACCAGUGGCGAAGGCGGCCCCCUGGACGGAGACUGACGCUGAGGUGCGAAAGCGUGGGGAGCAAACAGG
This 253-nucleotide ribosomal RNA is filed under the name uncultured bacterium. RNAcentral describes it as "partial 16S ribosomal RNA". It matches the Rfam family "Bacterial small subunit ribosomal RNA", at positions 524 to 776 of the family's 1533-position model. The record is from RNAcentral.